AGAGGCAACACCGGUCCACGGCAUUCCGCUUUGUGCGCUGUGACGCUUCGGAUGUUGGCAGCAAGUGCUCUCCCUUUGGCGCGACUGUGAACGCCCGGAUGCGAGCGGGAUUAGCGUGGAUGCGCGCCGCCGUCGGCUCGUGUUGUGUGUGAGAAGAAGAAGCCGGCUCUCAGUUUUUUGUCGUGGACUUCCGAACGGUGCUGGCGACUUCUUGAUCGACUCGGUGUAAUCUCUCUACCUUGGCCCCAUCGGCGGUUUGUCGUUUCUAGAUUGCGCGGCAGCGUCCAGGCCGCCGCCGCCUCCUUACAUUCCGUUAUGGAUACCACCACCUGCCUCACGUCCGUCGUUCUGCUGUUGGCUGCUUUGUCGGCAACGACUGUCGGCCAGACCGAGACGGCGACGCCAGCUGUGACGACAACAUCAACUCCGGUGCAAAAGUCCACAAACGACCUGUUGGGGACGUCGUCUGAGGAGAGUUUGCUUAGCCAACACGGGACAACGACCACUGGGCUCACGGAGCAAACAAAUGAUGAAGCUUCUACUUUGCCACCAAGCUCGGAGAGCAGCUCUGGACCGCAGACGAACAACGAUAUUUUUGGCACCGAAAAUGAAAAGCUGAACGACAUAGAAGCCGAUAAGCUAGCGAAGACCGAAGUCCACGAGGAGUCCGAAAGCGCUGUUGGUGCAGAGACACCCGUGGUGGCGACGAAUGGUACCACGACAGCGGUAUCUACGCAAGUACCAAUGACAGAAAUACAUCCAAGUUCAGCGGAUGUCUUCGUGACGACUGGAUCAACAGAGCACCCAGUGCCGUUCCAUGCAGAAGGGACGACUGCCUCUAGUCACAUGGGUGACGACGGUGCAACAGGUGCGUCGUCCAUGGUUCCUGUUACAACAUCAAAUACACUGCCACCGGAAGCGGCUUCAGCAGCUGACGAUUCCGGGGUCACCACGGAUUCAAGUGUAAAUUCAGAAACGACGAAUUUUGCAGCGACAGCAACGCCGCACGCCUUGCGGGAGACUACUUAUCCGGGUUCCUUCGCUACUCAGCAGGCGCAAGCCGUACCGUUUUCUACAGACCAGCCUGAUGUUCUGUCGGAGUCCACUUCAGUGCCGAGCAUUAGUGGUCCUCAGAGUGUAGAGAGCGCCUUGGAAACGCCCACUGAAGGUGGUUACGGGGUCUAUCCCUACUACCAGCCCGAAAUAUCCUCACCUGCCCUAGCGACAGGUCCUUUUCAUACUCCCAGCCUUUAUUCUGACCCAUUGAACACGAACGUUCCGGGCUAUUUUAACCCGACGGGAACGAAUGGUGACAUCUUUCCUAGGUUUAGCGUCGGGUUCUCGCGUAAGCGCUACUCUAGCGCUCCAGAAGUGGUCACCGAAGAGCAGACAUUGUCACCGGAAAGCGUUGAUGACACUACGCCAUCGGCAAAUACAGCCACUUCCGAACAGAGUCACGCGUAUGACGAGGCCACAGUACCUCCCACGUACAGCACUGCAAACGAAUCUGAGGCCACCGGUUCUGGAGUAUCGUUGCCGGCGUCAGAUGCUGACAGUACUACCGAAGGAAUCACUCACACACCACACCUCGGCAUGAUAACGAACCUUUACUCUGUUGAUUCUACAUUGCUAUCAACAGAAUCUCCGGCUCAGCAUGAAAGUACGGACACUCAACAUCAAAGUGAGCUGACCAGUUCCACAGAAAAUCAACCCGACGAAGCAACACCCAGCACAGAUUCCACGCCUGCUACCAGUAUUAAUGACGGUGCACCCGAUGUGCCGACUACAGAGUCAAGCGUGACGCAUGAACCUUUAAUUAAUAGAACAAAGAUAGGCAGGGCACGUACCUUCGAAGAGGCGGAUCCCGGUACUAAUGAUGUAACCGGGGAGGCACCUAGAGAAAUGGCGCCCACACCGUAUUUGGAGAGUGAAGAAAAUGCGGCACACGAAAGCUCAUCUGAAGCGGCGUCACCAGUCACUACUGUUUCUGAAAGCACCGCCAGUGUCAGUGCUACAGAGGAAUCAACGACAGUUUCUCCUGCCUCAGUCAAACUAGAACCGACUACAACGGCCCCCGCCGGAACCGCACCUUCAGAUAUUACAACGAGCGACACCACCGGUUCCAUAGAUGUUACGCAGACAAGCAGCGAGAGCGCCACAGGAGCAUCUACAGAGAGUGAAACGUCGACCGCGGUCAUUACCAGCACGUCUCCGGAUUCUGGUACGCCUUUGCAGGAGACCACGACUACGCAGUUGACAACCCCAGGGGGAGACACUACGUCCGAGACAAGCGACUCAAGCGUGCCCCAAGUACCAGUGGAAAUGACCACCUCAUCUCGUGAGGAGGCGACCUCAAGCUCAGUUACAGACACUGCAACAGGGAGGGUCACGGAUUCGGUGACGACAGCACCCACAGAUACGUCUACUCAGAGUGUGUCACAGUCGACGGAAGAACCAGGGACUUCCACCGAUUCGACAAUGGUUGCUAGUGGCGACAGGAGCACGCAGUCCCCGGAUAUUGCUGUUACGCAAGAAACCACUGAAGUUUCAACAGACACUGCUACGACAGAAUCUCAUGUGAGUUCACCGGCUGCGACAACCCAGGUAGAAGCAUCUACAGACGCAUCAUCAGGACACCCAGAGAUAAGGACGGGCGGUGAUUUCACGACAAUGACCCCUACUAUGACAGAUGGACCAACAAAUGAGUACCCGCAGCAUGCGGAGGCCAGCCUUUCCACUUCAGGUACAACCGAAAUCGUUCAGCCGGUUGGAAGGGAAGAGUUGACGACAGAAGGAGAGAGCAACAUGGAGCGAACAACUUCCAUCCUGUCGGAAGGGACCACUGCCCCGGCAACCGAGGAGGUAAUGACGACGGCACAGCAACUGCAAACAACCGAAUUACCGACGUACGAGGUGACAACACCAUCUUCGCCUGUUAUUUCGAACGAAGAUGGUGAGAGUACAUCGUCAUCUGUGAACGCGGCUACAACGCCAACAGCAGUCGACAGGGAAGCCGAGUUUACAACACUGACUACUGAGACUGCAGCAACCCCAGAAGCCGGGUCUAUAACACCAGAAGCGGAAGGUACAACACUGAUAGCUGACACUACAACAAAACCAACCACCGACACUGUAACACAAGCCUCCGGGACUACCGCGUCACCAGUUGUCGAGACUACAGCACCUCCAUCUGCCGACACUACGGCACCUCCAGCUGCCGACACUACGGCACCUCCAGCUGCCGAGACUGCAGCACCGCCAGCUGCCGAGACUACAGCACCGCCAGCUGCCGAGACUACAGCACCGCCAGCUGCCGAGGCUACAGCACCGCCAGCUGCCGAGACUACAGCACCGCCAGCUUCCGAGACUACAGCACCGCCAGCUUCCGAGACUACAGCAUCGGCAGCUGCCGAAACUACAGCAGCGGCAGCCGAGAGUACAACACAGACAGCCGAGAUUGCAACACAAGCCGCCGAGACAACAACUGCCCUGAGCGCUGAGCCUGAAACGGAACCAGCAGUAGGCGAGGUUACAACGUCACCCUCAGCUGUCGAAAUUACGACAGCGGACGUAAGCAAUGUUAUAACGACGACAGCAGUCGAAGCUACAACACCCGCAAACGCCCCGUCGACGGAACCGCCUGCUGACUUUGGAGCAGAGACCGAGGUGACAGGCGGGUCUUCGGCAAGCCGUAGUCCGAAGCAACUUUCCGAGAGCACGUCCGCGUCUCUGCCGGAGUGGAACACGUCACCUUCGACUGAACACGACCACAAGCACAGCUUCACGACGGCCCCUGACCUGUUCUCAACCACUCAGUCAUACACAAGCUGGCGACAAAGCACAACACAUUCUGCAACUUCUGAAGAGCCUGCUGGCCGGGACAUUACAGAAGAGGCACCCUGGAAUACGGAUAUUACGACAAGCUCCUCUGUCCAGGACUGGACGGCGUCGACCGAGACGCCGGCCUACACGCCGGGUUCGCCAACCAGCACGGAAAUCGGCGUCGACGCGUCCUGCAACAUCGUGGAAGGUGCCCUACCGGUGUCCUGCCUUCUGCCUGAGGAACUCAACCAGACUGUGACAGUCAAGUUUGGUGAUCUGAACAAAACGAGGGCCGAAACGUUCCGAGCGGAGGCCCGGGUGUGGCUGUUGGACUACUGCAGAAAAAAUGGCAUCCCGCUUGGUGAGCCGACGGUGGUGUUCCUCAGCGGAGACCGCGGCAUGGACCUGAUCUCCUUCUUCGUAAUCAACCGUACGAGAGGUUCGGUGGUUCCAAGUGAUACCGUGGUUGCAGUCUUAAACAAUAUGAAGCUGACCUUUGAAGACAAGCUGGGAACUGCCAUCACGGACGUGUUCUACGGGCUGCCCGUGCUGCACAAGAAGGACGUGGGCGUGGCUGGCUUCCUGGGCUCAUCGCUGGGCCUCGUCUACGUCAUCGUGGGCGCUGCGCUGGCUGCACUGCUCCUACUCGCCCUGCUGGUGGUCAUCAUGGUCAAGUGUCGAACGCUGUCCUCGAACCAGUACUCGCCUGAUUCGGAGAAGCUGACCAAGGACUUGCAGAUGCGCGCCGAGAUGGGCGACCUGCGGCCGGCCGAAGAGAUCCUCAAGGAGGAGGCGCAGCUCAAGGAUGCGCUCAACGGCAACGGCACGCACAUCAACGGUGACGGCUGGGUCGUGCCGUACUCGCAGAUAGUCAACGAGCGCAAGCCCCCUGCCGACGCGCAGGACACGCGACUUUGAAGCUCGGUCUUUGUCGGACCGCUGGAACGAGAUCUCCAGGGUACCGCAACCAGUUGUUAGGCAGGGCUUUUGACUCAUGGCCUCUGAUGCGAUCGCGCUUGAACACAUAGAAAGUGCAAAGGCUUGAAGACUGUAUCUGCGUGCGUACUUAUACACGAUUGGCUUUCCCGGAUGAGCCCCUAAUUCGAUUCAGGAACAGUAUUUUAUGAUCAAUUUUUUCUUAGACCCAGUAACAUGCACUUAAUUUCAUUAGAAAGCAUAUAUAAUAAAAUGUAUGUACCGUGAAAAUAUUCGGAGCUAAACUCUAGUAAGCAGCUUCCAAUAUGUAUUUUCAGAUGGAUAUAUACAAACGAAUUGUAGAGUUUCAGACAAACAGCCGGCCCCCAGUACAAUUUUGCAGUGUAAGAACACUUCUGUAAGCGCACUAGAUACUCCAUGAGUACUUCGGCUAGUGCGCUGUUCAGGAAAUGUUGCGAAUUGCUUGAGUACUAAUGCUAGUAAUUCCUGCAACUGGUGCUUCCUCUCGCAAAAUGAAUAGUCGCAGAGCCUGAAAAGAAAGGCUAACGCACACUAUAGACACAACUUCACCGCGAAACUAUCGUAUGGCUGCUUGCCAGAACUUCAAGAGGUCAUUCCGCUUCACCUUUGCAUCCGCGGCCAUGAGUCAUUUUAGCCUUGUCAGAAUGCACUGCGGUUCUCUGAAAACCUACUCCAGUGAUUUUUCUGGCCUUUCCGGAUUCACAAGCCUCUUCAGCUGCACGCGGCUUCAUCGAGAACCGCGUGACUUGUCACAUGGUGCCCAGCUACAAUCAGUGUCCGUCGUAGCCCUGCAGACGGUGCACACUGCCUGGCUGGUUACUUUCAGUGCUAGAUGGACUUUGACCGAGAACUUUACAGUGUUACAAUGCAGCGGACACGCUGCUGCACAGAAGAGUCACUAAAUCACGUGAGAGCUGCUUGGGAUUCACGUGUGCGCGUCAAUGUGUGAGAUACAUCGCGGCCGCGGUAGCCGUGCAAUGUGACGAGAGACCUAGCGGGCUGGCCUCUCGGCGUCGACCGUCUCGCUCGUAAUGAGCUCGGCUUCGCUGAAACAUAUCGGGUGCCAUCGGAAGCAUUCUCGUUGGGAAUGCCGUAUUGCACGGCAUACUUAGGUUAUGACAAUGAGGGAAGAGCGAGCAGCCACAUUCCAGUCACCUAUACUGUGUUUCUUUCUUUUUUGUUUGUCACUGUAGCUUGACCCUGAGCCAGUGCUUAGUAGAAAAUCCGAGGAAUGUUUUCGCUGUGUUUUUUUCUUCUUUUUUCUUUUUUUGUGAGCCCAUAACGUUGUGUUGGGGGUGGCAGACUUCAUUUCCUUGUAAUUUAUCGAGCUAUAUUCAGACGCGGAAACGAAUGCUGAGCCAUCCCUUGGUCGAAUGCCCUGUUUCCAUCUUGUCCUGAUAUACCUUGCUGCGAAUAACACUAGAGAUUGCUGAGAAGGGUGUGCAAUCUUUGUGAGAGGUUUAUGGGUGAAUAUUGUAUAAUUGCUAGUGUGUGUGUUUGUGUCGAAUGCGCUAGAUCUUCGGCGCACUUGGGUAACAGGACAAAUACAAUCCAAAGGGGCCCAUUCGACAUUUGUCAAAGGUUACAAGUUACGGAAAGAUGAAGUUCACUUAGUGUUAGUUUGCCCUGCCCAUACUGCAACAAACAAGACCAUUAGCUGUGCUUCAAAAUAUGUUAUGGAAAGGGGAAUGCCGUCCGAAGGUAAGAUUACGUAGAUAAAUAAAGCAAAGACUUCUCGAUCAAUGCGGAAAGAAAAUAUAGACACGCUGAAACGACAAAGGUGCGCAUGAUUACUGUUGAGAAGGGACGCGAAAAAUUGACCCACGACUAACCAAGGUUUCUAGUUUAUUUAUUUACGCAUGUUUUUGUUUUUUUGAAAGACACUUAUUGAUAAAUACAAUUGGGUACCAAGGCUUUUGGGCUCAAGUCACUAUCAAUGCAGAUUCCUGUGUUAGAUUUCGUUGUUGGACACGAUUUUACCCGGAAGAAAAAGGAAAAGCUGUUUAAUAAAGUCAUAGCAUAUUUUAAAGAUAGAUUUUAGUGUUUAGUAAAAGAAUCUGUAUGUCGGUUCACUGCCCUAAGCUGAAGCGCUUCACGCUUUUUAGCGGCUGUAUUUUUAUGUUUUGUUUUUCAAAAAAUAGCAUGAACUACUUGCACGAGACUAUCAUUUAAAGUUGUUUGACCACGUCUACUUGUUUAUUGGUUCUCCUGUUGAGAAAGAAAGCACCGUGGUAACGUCUAUGAUUAACCAUUAUAUGAAUUUAGACAAUGACAACAUGUCCUUUACUCACCGCACUGUGGAACGAGCCAUUGAAAGACACCACACUGGAAAUGCCUUAAAACUAUGUCUUGCCAUUUCGUUCGAUAUAGAAACAUUCUGCCCCACAUUCCAUAAUCGAUGCUGCAUGGAUUUCUUUUUCCUGCGCGUCUGGUUGCACGCGUGAUCCCGAAUAUACCGUGGUUAUCUUGAGAUAAUGCCAUGGUGUCCUACAAGAGCUUUAGAGCUCUACCUCCUGAUGCAUCACAUAUUUCGCGGCCAUUCCAUUUGUGGUUUUAGACUGCUUCCUGUUUUCCCUUUCUUUGACUAUUUGUUGCAAAAAUGUAUCUAGGUGAAAGCAGGCACGUCUAUAAAAGUUGAUUAUCUGUUUUAGAAGUAUUACGUGUGAGCAAAAAGCGAAAAGCGCCCGAGGAUUCGCACCGCCUACUUUUGUAUGUGGUACAGUGUAUUGAAAAUAAUAUAUUAGAGAUCGUUGUAGUUUGCGAAAUAUUAUUCUGCCGGAAAAAUGCUGUUCCUCGGGCAGAGAUAUUAUAGUAAUUGAUUGGAUGUUAAAAUAUUAAAUGAAGGCCGUAAGGGAUUCGCAGCCGGCUCCAUUCAGUCUCCCCAACAAUUAUUUGUAGUGAUUUAUCAGGACGAGUGUGGCUACCUGCCAGUUUACCUAAUAGUCACAAGAAUGGCUCAUCAGUCACUUUCAACGUGACUUGCGUGUAGUCACUGUUCUUUUUAUAACGAGGAGUUUUGUCCUCUUGUAUAUAGAUUUUGAAAACGUGGUAAUGUAUUUUUGUAAUUUUUACUAUUGCGACUCUCUCUAUACCGCCCUUUUCACGAGAUGUCAGAGGACCUGUUUAGCUAUGCGCUUUGCUCUUUGCUAAUGCGCUCCCUAUAUUCUCAUAAGUGGGGCGUUACACCAUGUAACCCCCCAUAUUUUGUCUUACCCAUCGUUAUCACUCACUCAGCAAAGGUCUUAUUCAAGUGCCUAAUGCCUUACAUUUCGCUGAGUAGGUAACAACCCAAUUAAAUUUUGGCAAGGUAAAUAUUCUUGCCUAAGAUUAGUUUUUUUUGCACAAUUUACAAUUCAAAAUCGGGAAUAUAUCUAUUAGUGCAUUUUCUAUGUGUAAUAAUCUUUCUUCCUGUGCGCAAUAUUGUGCCAAAACUUGGGCCUCGUAUCAGUAAGAACAUGGCACUCGUUGUGAACUUUGUUUGAUCGCCAUACUCAAAGACGCGCUCGGUGGACCCUUCAGAGUCGUGUCCUGUUCACGGAGCGCGUGAAUAUACUGUGCCUCACAUUGCGUAAUGUAAAUGGUAAUCUAUCUUCUGCUGCAAUACAUGGUGAAGUGGUAUUCCACACACCUUGCGCGCUUGCUAGAGCGUAUUGAAUGCGCGCGAUGUUAGCGUUCUCGAACUAACAAAUCAAAGUGCCUGUGUCAUUGCUUUCCUGUUCUGUUCCUUGUCCGAGAUAUGUAUAUAGUGAAUUAAAAGUUGUUUCAAAUA
Dermacentor silvarum is the source of this 8548-nucleotide RNA transcript. It is a transcript of the gene named mucin-2-like, with no coding region annotated. The transcript has 11 exons. Lineage: Eukaryota; Metazoa; Arthropoda; Arachnida; Ixodida; Ixodidae. The record is from RefSeq and is a predicted model, not a curated record.